Molecule: long non-coding RNA, 1244 nt
Filed under: Nicotiana benthamiana
Lineage: Eukaryota; Viridiplantae; Streptophyta; Magnoliopsida; Solanales; Solanaceae
Description: long non-coding RNA (NBEN_LNC036870)
Source: RNAcentral
UAGGGGUUCUGCUAAUUGAGUUAAGGAAGCAAACUGUAUCAUUAUCAAUUGCUUUCUAGAUGGUUCUGCAACACGUUUGGAACAAAAUAAAAAUAUCUUCAUUUUGAAAUUCCAUUGGACUCGACUGGAGUAAUGUAUUAUAGGAAUCAGCCUCUUUCAAUCAAAGAACUAUUUCAACGAUUCCCAUGUUUGUAGUUCGAAAGGAAAAGGAUCCCAGGAAAUUUAUUCGAACCUAAUUCUUACUAAAUUUUCUAUUCCAAUCAAUGGCCUCUUCCUAGGUGAUACUGAGGAGGGCCGGACCCGUUUUUUAUUUGGUUCUCUCUUUACUGUUCAAAGAAAAAGUGGUUUUGUUAAGUGUAUAAGCACUUUGUAUGAGAAAGAAAGGAUAUAAACAUAGUGGUUGUCUAACGAGAUACUAUGCAGAAUAAGAUCUUCAGGUGAGUCACAUAAUUUUCUAUUCCAAUCAAUGGCCUCUUCCUAGGUGAUACUGAGGAGGGCCGGACCCGUUUUUUAUUUGGUUCUCUCUUUACUGUUCAAAGAAAAAGUGGUUUUGUUAAGUGUAUAAGCACUUUGUAUGAGAAAGAAAGGAUAUAAACAUAGUGGUUGUCUAACGAGAUACUAUUUAGAAUAAGAUCGUCAGGUGAGUCACAUAUUGCGCAUUUACCUUUCGAAUUUUGGAAAUUGGAUUUAGACUUUAUCGACUUAUUUCAUAUCAUGGUUCAGGCCUUAAAAAUCAGUGAGGUUUACUCUUCCUUUUCGAUGCCCGUGGAACUACUGUCAAUGGUUUACUCAAUUACUUCUUGGGAAUGUUAAAAAAAAAGAUUACUACGACCUUUCGAAUUUUGGAAAUUGGAUUUAGACUUUAUCGACUUAUUUCAUAUCAUGGUUCAGGCCUUAAAAAUCAGUGAGGUUUACUCUUCCUUUUCGAUGCCCGUGGAACUACUGUCAAUGGUUUACUUCUUAGGAAUGUUAAAAAAAAAAAGAUUACUACGUGAUUUUUUGAAUAUGCCUAUAUCUAUCGCUUUUGCUUCAUUGAUUUGAUUCUCUCAAUAGAUACUGAGAUUCAUAUUGGAAAUCAAAAAUAUAGUAAUUCAAACUAUAAGACAUAGGAGUAAUUCAGAUUGAUCAGAACAAAUAGAUAUAGCAAAUAAAUGGAAUUGGAUGCUAUGUCAAUCCCAUAUAUGGAAUUGAUAUUCACAUAUAUCAAGAUAAUAUUGUAGAUUGAUAUAUAGAUCCAUAUCAAA